Molecule: ribosomal RNA, 290 nt
Filed under: Halosbaena sp. CI
Lineage: Eukaryota; Metazoa; Arthropoda; Malacostraca; Thermosbaenacea; Halosbaenidae
Description: partial 28S ribosomal RNA
Rfam family: Eukaryotic large subunit ribosomal RNA
Source: RNAcentral
AGCCCAUAGGCGAAGUGAAAGCGCAAGCAUUGCCGUAGUUUACUGCGGUGUGCUAGGACGGCUGAUCCCGCGAACGGCGCGCGCGUCGUCGUGGGCGCAAGCCGCGGACUCUCGUGGCCGCCGAGGUGGCCGAGGGUACCGAGAGCGCACUUGCCAGGACCCGAAAGAUGGUGAUCUAUGCUUGGACAGGACGAAUGCCAGGGGAAACCCUGGUGGAGGUCCGAAGUGCCUCUGACGUGCAAAUCGAUCAUCAGAUCUGAGCAUAGGGGCGAAAGACUAAUCGAACCAUC